AAUGCAGUUCCAGUGAUUAUGCUCCCAAGAAAUACAUUAAUAAAUUGGAAAAUAUAGUAUCUAGUUGCAGAUCUUCUCUCUAGCCCUGACAGGCUGAUGAAUCCUUCAAAUUUAGACAUUAACAUCAAUAUUGAAGGUAGAAAUAUAAGAAAUAUCUUCAAAGCAAUUCCCGGAAGGAAACCUUGAAUGAAUGACUUUAUGGCUUUCCUGCAUGAAAAAUAAAAAGUCUUUUGAAGUAAGUCAGUCAAAGAAAAGACAAUUC
This 262-nucleotide unclassified non-coding RNA is filed under the name Hevea brasiliensis (rubber tree). The record is from RNAcentral. Lineage: Eukaryota; Viridiplantae; Streptophyta; Magnoliopsida; Malpighiales; Euphorbiaceae.